UUUUUUUGGUAUAGUUGACACGAAGAACAGAUUCUAUUUGAUAAGUUCUGAAUACAAUGAUAAUCCCCAAUUGAUUAAAGAUAGAGUUCAUCAGUUGUUCACCCCGUUAAGUUCUAUAGUUGUUAAUGGAGUGUUGUAUGCUCAAGGGAAUCGACAACUAUUACACAAGACAAAACUUUUUAGUUCAGUUGAAUGUACUACGGAUCUUUCAGCAACAAAUUGUAAGAAAUACCUUGAUUAGGAAAUAACCGAACUUAUAAAUUGUAGUUAUAAAAUGAAAGGUGGACGAGCAAUAUAUAGAAGUUGCUACAUCAGAUUUGAAUUGUACAACUUUUACUAA
Molecule: long non-coding RNA, 340 nt
Filed under: Prunus dulcis (almond)
Lineage: Eukaryota; Viridiplantae; Streptophyta; Magnoliopsida; Rosales; Rosaceae
Description: sRNA ncRNA
Source: RNAcentral